CGGUCUCCAUCAGCGGCAUUUUCCACUUUAAUUGAAAUUUAGAUUGUUGUUGACCCCCUGGAUGAGGUUUGGUGGACCAAGCAGAGGAAGAGGAGGAUAUCAUGCAACCCUAAUGGGCAGGCUGGAUAUCACCAUGCAUCAUUUAUCAUGCAGGCCGCUGGUCCUGGCUCUGAGCCGAAUAAAUCUGAAGGACCUGAGGGACAUCAGCGAGGCUGUAUGGACGAGCACCAGUGGACAUUCUGCUAUUAAACGAUUACCCCAUCUGCCUCCAUUUCACUUUGGCCUCUCAAUGAAUGUUCUAUUUGCCUCACUAACUAAUGAGAGUGGAAGAAUGCCUGCGGCAAUAAAUGUUUAAAAUGACUU
This is a long non-coding RNA of Scatophagus argus, 363 nucleotides long. RefSeq lists it as uncharacterized. The record is from RefSeq and is a predicted model, not a curated record. Lineage: Eukaryota; Metazoa; Chordata; Actinopteri; Scatophagidae. The transcript is spliced from 3 exons.